CCUACGGGGUGCAGCAGUGGGGAAUAUUGCACAAUGGGGGAAACCCUGAUGCAGCGACGCCGCGUGAAGGACGAAGUAUUUCGGUACGUAAACUUCUAUCAGCCGGGAAGCAAAUGACGGUACCUGACCAAGCCGCCCCGGCUACCUACGUGCCAGCAGCCGCGGUACUACGUAGGGGGCAAGCGUUAUCCGGAUUUACUGGGUGUAAAGGGAGCGUAGACGGCCAUGCAAGUCUGCUGUGAAAACCCGGGGCUCAACCCCGGGACUGCAUUGGAAACUGUGCGGCUGGAGGGGCGGAGAGGGAAGUGGAAUUCCUAGUGGAGCGGUGAAAUGCGUAGAUAUUAGGAGGAACACCAGUGGCGAAGGCGGCUUGCUGGACGACGACUGACGUUGAGGCUCGAAAGCGUGGGGAGCAAACAGGAUUAGAUACCCUAGUAGUUC
RNAcentral lists this ribosomal RNA (441 nucleotides) under uncultured bacterium. Its description in RNAcentral is "partial 16S ribosomal RNA". It matches the Rfam family "Bacterial small subunit ribosomal RNA", at positions 338 to 796 of the family's 1533-position model. The record is from RNAcentral.